AAAAGUGCCCUAAUACACUAAAAUUAAAUAGAUUGACCUAUUAAAUAUGGCAGGGAAAAAAAAAGAGAAUGAUUAAUACUUCUUUCUUGCAUAAGAAAGUAGUAUCACAGCUUUGGAUGUCUCUUUCUGAAGUAUUUCACACAUACAUAAUAUUCAGUAAUUCUGGUGUAACAUGGAAAACAAAUGAAAUGUGAUUUAAAAACUCUCCUUGGAAAGACAUGUACACUACUCUGAGGCAAUUUCAUUUACUUAAAAUUUCAUGUUACUACUCCCACAGAGACGGAAUGCACUCUAUAACAAAUAUUGCUUCUUAUAAGCUGACAGUUGUAGAACCAAAUCUGCCCUAAAUUAUAAACUGCAUUUUCUGCUGUUUGAUAACACCUGAAACUGAAAGACAUGUGGCUAAAGUACUCCUCUGUGGUUAAUCCAGUACUUAAAUACAUAAAGAAAAUAGCAGAAUAGCUCCUAACAAACAUAUCACAGCAAAUUAUUCAUGAAUUUUCUUUCAAGCAAAUGAAUAUCUGCUGUUCUUCGCAGCAGAAAGUCCUGAGAUCCAAGUUUUGACAAAGCUGAUAAAAAAUAAUUGUUUGAGACAAUAAAUCCUCCUACAGAGGACAUUGCAUUUCCCACAUCUUCACUUUUUAUCAGGAGAACACUAAAGCUGCCUGGAGGCUCUUCAACCAGAUGAAGUAUAGGCCUAAAUAGAUGUGCUUAAUGUUGUCUAAAUCAUAGCAAAGUACUGAGAGAGCUGGAAAUUUCAGCACCUCCAACUGCUCCCAUAAACACAUAAGACCCGGCUAUAACCUUAGUAAUUUCCUCAGCCUUUUUAGGGCCAUUGUACUGUUUUGAGGGGUAUAGGUAUUAAGCUUUAAUCCAACUGCAAAGAGAAAGAAAAGAUUUCAUAAAACACCAGAAGGUGAGAGAGGGCAAGGAGAGGCAAACCUGCCUGCAGUGCAGGGCAGGGGGACUGGAUUUAUCCCAGCUGUAAUGCCCAGGAGAUGUCCUGAGACCUCAAAAGACGUAUUUUCAGACCCACCGCACAUGAUAAGCACCUUCUGAAUCCCUGCUGUGUCCUCGGAAGCUGUCUUCCCUCACAGUGAAGCUAUUCUUCUGAGCAUCUUUUGUCUGCUAUUUAGAGACAUUAACAAAUAGCUCUGUCUCACAGAGAAGUAACACUAGAAAUAAUGAAGCCCGGCUUCCUAGGGAUUUGUGUUUCUUGGCUGAUUACAAGCACUGAUUGAAGCUGUUUCCAAUUGCAGGAGAUCACUCCUGUAACAUUUCUUCUCAUGUGGAUUUUCAGUCUUCCAGCGAAUACAGUCAAAGCAUAGUCUCUCAUUUUUCAGGACUCUUCUGUGGGGUCUUCCGCUGCCUUUUUCACAACUCAUAAGGAAAUCCUCUCUUCUGGUAUAUUUGUUUGAAAUUAUCAGUAAAAAAGAAUUUGAGGGCCACAUAUAAACAUACAUACACUCAUACCCCUCAGCAUGAUCAGAGAAAUCAGAGAAAUCUGACUUCCUACAGAAAUCAGGCUAAAAUAACAAACUUCCUAAUAGACUCACACACUGCCUUUUCAGCUGUGAUCCUAUGUUACUGUGGUCUGUCAAAAGGCACAGAGGACUAAACAGGUGUUGGUUCUUUGGAAAGCUUUUACUAGCAGUCCAUCAGCAGGAUACAUCAAGCAACUGACUACACAAAAAAGUAAGAGUUCAAACCAUACACUUGUGAGCUCAAGUACAUGAUAAACCCAACAAUCUUCCCAGUUACACUAAUGGAAUUGUUGAUUUUCAUUUAACUUACUUUUGGAUUGGAUUGGCAUAACCAGGAAGAAAAAAAAGCCCAAUUGCAGCCCAAUUGUUCCACAAUACCUGUGAUAAAAUCAGGCAAGGUGGCUGCUGAAGCAUAGAGGCCUCUGUGGUGGUGGUCUUGGCUGUCUUAGAAGUUAGAAAAUUAAUUGCUGAGAAGCCUAAACUUAAAAAUAUGCCUUGAAAAUAAGUAAAUAAAAGAAAACAACAGGAAUGGUAUUUGUCAAAACUUUGCACUGCCAUUGAUGGCAGUGUCCUCUACCGAGAAAUGAAAAGAUCUAUUUUUUUUUUCUUUUUUUCUUUUUUAACAAAGUUCUGUUUGAGUUCAUCUCAGGUUUUGCACAUGGCUGAGCUGCUAAUUCCCUGUCCUGGCAAGUGGGGAAGAAUUUGCAAAGACGUGGGUCAUUGCCUCUGCUCCUCACCCAGGCAUUGAAACCUUUCUGCCAGAGUACUGCACGUCAGCUACUGAUCUGGGAAUGCAGCACUGCCACCUAAUUGCUUGCAGUACAGCACGGGACAGAGUUAUCCUGUGCCACGGUCUGCUGCACAGGGUCACAGCAAACCUUACCUGGGAUCUCAGCCUGUUAAGCAGGCUUCUGUCUUCAGAAAGGUCACCUCGGUUUCUGUUAUCUGUGCGAUCCUGGGUCUCACUCGGAGUCUCUGAGUAUCUCUUUUUCCUAUCCCUAUGAAAUAUGUGGGGUCAAGGCAGAAGUUAUGCUUUUGGUUCUGCACACCAAGACCAUGUAAUGUGCAGGUAAGUAGCACCUGGCCCUAUCUGUGCAAUUGCAGUGAAGGCAAAGGUUGCUAUUUGAGACACAAUAUGGAGCACAGGCAAAUGAAAAGUUUAUGCAUUCUUAUUAAACUUAGUUGAAGAGGAAAGAAGAGGUAACAACGAGGUCACUUAGAUACCACAAAGCCCUUCACUUUUCAAACAGAAAAUGAAGAAAAGCAAAGGCCAGGGCAGAGGAAAUAACUUAUUUUUAGGCUGAUAGGGAAUUUGGCUCAAAACCCUUCAAUCUUAAUCUUACAAUGACUUAUUAAAACAAGUAAUUCAUUAAAUAAACACUUUUCUAACUGUGUAUUAGAGUGAGAAUAUUACUACAUAGCAACUGUUAAGAAUUCAUUUCUGUUAAAGAGCUUCUAUGACUGCACUUGGUAGUGCUGCAGGUUGGUGACCCAGAGCUUUGAAUUCAAUUUCCUGUACAGCUAUCUAUGAAAAAAAAAAUCUUCUAGAUCUACAUUGGGGAAGUAUUGACCUUCUGCUCUCCUUGUACAGAUCUUCCAAAAAUUUUGCAUGUGAAAGAAUUUAGAUCCACUGGGUGUUAUGAUUUUUUUCCCUUAAAUAUAUGUAUGCAGUCACUUCUGAGAUCAACAAAAAUACACUGAUCCUAACACUGCCAGAAGUCACUGAGAUCUAUUCAGCAUAAUUUGGGUUAAAAGUGAGCUGAAUGUGUGCCAGGAGGUACAAAACAAAGUGUCACGCUGCUUUUGUAAUUGCCUAAUUGGACAAAAUAAUUCCCUCCCGCAGGGUGACCCUCUCUUGCAGCUCCUGCAAGGAAUUGCAAUACAAAAUGAGGAAUAGGGUUUUCUAAAUUAACCCAUUGUCGUUAUUGUAUUACCAUUUUAUGCAGUUACGGUUAUUGCAUAAUUACCCACUUGUUGUGAGUACUCAUGUCCUCUUUUACAUAUUUCUUGCUUUCACGCCCCUUGUAGCAUGGGACCACCCCAGAGACAUCCUUCAUCAAACACUCCUCGUGCUCUAAUGAUACCAGAAAGUGUUUUGCUCUUUGGAAGUCAACCUCUCAACUAAAUUUCUUAGCACUUUAAGCUUGUUUAUCUAUAGGCCUACAGAAGCCUGCUCACAUAGUUGGUAUGGCUAAUGGAUUGGUGACAGGCAGCAGUGGAACACUUUGAUCCCAGUCCUCAGGUGCUGUAGCUUGUCAGAGGUGGAUGGCUGAGCUGUUUUCACCAUUGAUCAAGCAGUUUGUAGCAGAUUAUUAUAAUUAAGCACCUUUGAAGUGCCAAGUUAUAUGAAGCUCUGGCACAGUUCAGGUUGUAGAAUUCAAAUGAGAUUUAUUAGUAUUAGAUUUAUUAAUAUUCUCAUUUUUAUAGGAUAUCAUGUCACUUAUGGAAAUGGCUUCUCUCCACAUUUAGAUUUGUCCUAGUGAGGCUGUUCCACCUGGGGAAGACACAUUGAGGUAAAUCACCCAGACUUGAGAACAGUCCUCACUCCUGAUUUAAUCUUAGUAUCACCUAUACGAAUGCAAGUAAUGGGCCCUGCAUCUCCCGGAGGAGUUUUCUACCUUGCUGAGCCAGGAGGAUCCCUGCCAGCAGUGCUGGGGCUGCCUCCAGCCCACCACCAGUGCUUUCCUCAGGGCCAGAAGAGCAUCAUAUCAAUGGUUUAGCCAAGUAAAAAGACAGCUUGAUGACACCUUUGCAAUUCUGUCUGCAGGGCUAUGCUUAGUAGUCACUGUGAGUUUAGGAGGCAGCUUCAUAAGCCCUGUAAUUAACACUUCGGCUGGCAGCUGUUCCCAUUUCCACAUUUCCCUGCAGCACCGAUACAACCAUCGCUCACACCGGCUGCCGCCCACGGCCUGGCUGCAGCACAGUGCCCAGGCCACAGCAGUUAGGAGAGCUGUAGUUGGCUGCCUGGAAAAAUAUCCCACAGGGAAAUGAGCAAAAACAAAAAUGAAAAGGAAGAAGAGGAAAACCCGAGACCUAAAUGAUGUUACAUGAACCGGUCUGCCAAGCUUGUUUCCAACCAGGCCAAGACCUGUUGCUGGAAGCUGACAGGCCUCAACGGAAAGAGUCCCAGAAAGGGAGAAGAGACAAAGUGCUGGGAAUCUGAAUUUGUGUAUUUCUAUUCUGAACCAUUUCUCACCACCCAGUGUACAACAUCAAGCAAACCAGUGCCUUCCAGCUGGUGAGAUGCUGUUGGUGCUGGAGCAAGAGCUGGCCUGAGGAGCUGCAGAGAGGUCCUAUUGCCCAGAGCAGAGUGCAGAAACCCUGACAGCCUCACUGGCAUUUUAUCUAGUGGAAGCCAGGGCACUGACUUGCCCCUUGGCUAUCAGCCAGCACAAAGGUUUGGCUGCGUUCCCCUGCUCUUGGAGGACUACCCUGAGAACUGCAGAAGGCAGGAAUGCUGUAGAAGCACAACAGCAAUUAUUUGCCUGGAAGGAGAGCUGCUGUUUUGCGUGAGAGCUCUCCUGGGCCAUUGCAGCUUAGGGUAGGGAGAGUAAGAAUGUCACAUAAGGAUGAAAGGAAUUUGGCAUGAGGAAGGCUGAAAGUACCUGAUUCCUGAGAUUCUCUAGAUAUUUUUGGCAGCUACAAUGAUCCUGUGGAGUCAGAGCCUGUGAUGGACACCUACUGAGAAAUGUGUCUUUAAGGCAUAAGCCUGUGGUAGGAUGCAAAGGUCUAUAUGUCACACAUCUGUUUGGAAUGGGAUGUGAUUCUGUGAUAAUUCAAAACAGAUGCCUUAAGCAUCAAGAGAUCAGCAGGACAGGACCAUAGUGCAAAUAGUAGAAAGGGACUCAGAGAAUCACACUAGCACUAAGAUUUCUUAUAUAAAUGAGAAAUUUGGAAAAUGAAUUGAAGGGAAUUUAAAUAACAUUGCCUUCAACAUCUGCAAGCAAUGCUUGCCAGUAAAGAGAAAGAAAGUUAAAAUAACUAAAUAAAUAUUUUUUACAGCAGCUUGAUUUUGGAAGACUUAACAGGAAACUAACUAGGAAAACAUAAGAAGUCAUAGAGAACAUAAAACAUAGAAGUAACCAAAAAAAAACAAGGACAAGAAUAAGUUAAAAUCAGAAGAAUCCAUGACUACACUAAAGAUGUAGAAACUAUAUUUGAGAGUUUGAUUUCUAGAGAAGAGAACAGAUCAUGUUUCAGCUCUUGUCAUCAGGCAAUCAGGUCAUGUUUGAGCAUCAGUUGUGCCAUGUGAACAAGAGCACAAGUCCAUGUGAUGCCUGAACCACUGGAAAAGAUUCAGGAUCUGAAAAGAUAUCACUUUGGAAGAGCUUGCAAGAGUCAGCAAGGUGUGCACAGCAUGGGCGAAGUGGCUCAGAAUUUCCUCUAGGAACAAAAGGUACUGAGAUGAUAUCAGGUUAAUCAGAAUAGUAUUCAUUUUCAGCACACAUGUCAACUAACAUGCUGCCAAAAAAGUGCACUUUUUCUUUUAAUGCACUUAAAAGAAAUCUUAAGGGAACACAAAAGAAGACAGUUGACUCAGAGAACUUAAAAUCACAAGGCCAACCCCUUGGAAGAUAUAUAUAUGAAAUAAAUAUAUAAUAGAUGGAAAAAGAGAAGAGACAGUCAAGGUGAUCUAAGCUUUUAAAGUCUACUUAACAAUAUGAGUAUAGAAAGCUGAGAAAGAAUUUGAAGCCAUUUCCUUAUGGAUCAAGAUCUCAUGAAUAUUAAAUAAUGUACGAAAGAGUUGAAUUGUCCAACAGUUCUCACACCUGCGCAAGUCCUUCACAUUGCAAGACCAAGCUUAAAAAAGGAGCAGGAUAUGCUCAUUGCUAUGGGAUGGCUGGAGGAACUGUUAGAGUUGUUCUUGUAGUUAUAGAAAAGACAUAUGAAACCUCUUGUUUGUCCAUAGAUAGACCUGAAAGAACAAAACAAGACUGUUACAGUGCCAAGCAGAGAUAUGGUCGGUGACAAAUACCUUUCUGCCUUUAGUACAUCACUGGGCUCCUGGCAGGUGUUCAUAUUUGGAAAAAGAAAAGAGCAGGUGUUUCUGAACUUCCAUAAAACCUUUGUGAGCUGCACUGUUUUCUCAGAUGUUUAUUUAGGCUGCAUUUGGCACCUGAGAAAAAAAAAGUGAUAAAUUUUUCAUGCCAUUCAGGUUAGUGAGAUUUAUACAGAUGACAUUUAGAUCUGAUGAAAAACACUGGCUCAGAGCAGCCAUGGAACAAAACUGUGCUUCUGGGCUGAAGCUGGACAAACAGGACUGUAAAUGCCAUGUUACACAAAUAAUAAUAUAAAAGAAGAAAAGUUAGAACAAAAAAAAAAACAACCACCAACAAGUCAAUCAUCAGAAAAUAUGCAGCAAUUUGUCUGCUCCAGCAAUAUUUGGAUGCUGAAUUUUGUAGAUGAAUACACACCUAAUGAAGAUUUUCUGACUGCCAUUAGGCAAAGAUUUCCAAUGAUAUGGGAUGGAAUUACUGAAAAAAAAAAAAAAAAGGAGAGAGAAAUAGAAGGAAUUAUUUAGACAUUUCAGACUUUACAGGAAAUAAUCCAUGGAGGAUUUGGGGGCAUAUAUUGAUGUCGUCAUUUAAACACCGUGAAUAAAACAAAUAGUCACAGUAGUUUAUGAGUUAACAAAACUUAGGUAUGAAUAUGCUCAGGAGAAAGAAAAAAAAAAGAUUAUUUAAUCUUAGGCAUGGAAACAAACAAAAUCAUACAUUUUAAUUUGCUGAAGGCCAGUGAUAUUUGAAACUGAUUAUAUAUUAUAAGCAAUUACCAAAUAGAGCCUGCCCAAUGCUUGUUUUACUUUUUUUUUUUUUCUUUUUUUUCUUUUUUCAGAUAUGAAGUGUGACUCACAGCUUCAAUAUAACCUUGAAAUUGCAAGCAGGGUUUCCAGAGCAUUUGACAAUGGAAAUAAAUCCAGAGAGAGAUUUGUACAUGUCACUCUUAUUGUAACAAUAGUUACUGGGGAUAAUAUGCUUCAUAAAACAAUGUGUAUCAUUAAUGCAAGAUUAAAUUUAGCCUGAAAGCAUGAGGGAGGUGAACUUGAAUGUACUACUGAGAAAGAUCUUCCAGAGCAUGCGUGUGGAUAAUUUCAGGAUUCAAAUGUAUAAAGAAAAGGCCAGGGACAUCCUUUACAUGGAUCAAGUACAUUGAGUUCAGCAAUUGUGUUUAGAAAUAGCAUAAGGUGUAUCUUAUAUAGUGUGGCUGUGAUGAAGACCAUAUCUAGUGAAAGAGUUUACAGAAAACAGAAAAACAGCAAAAUAACUGAAUCCUGAGAGGAUGUGUUUAUUUGCACUUACUAUGCGUUUGUAUUCCAAACCAUUAUUCUCCUUUUCCUGAGAUAGCCUUACUAUCUUUUACUAUUUGUCUCUGACAAGCAUACUACAGAGAAACAUAGUGUGUGUCAAAUUUAUUUUUGUUGACAUAGCAUACCUGACGAUAAGCAAAAGUUCAGCAAACACAAGCUUAAGAAGGGAAUUAUGCUUUUAGAGAGGCCUUGUUCAGUUCCUCAGUCCAAUAAAGCAAUGAAAAAAGGCAUCAAAAUACCAAGAAAAUUUACUGCAGAGUCCAAGUCCACCUCAGAAGUGGAUGCACCACGUCUCAGUGGCAGGAAGGCACUUGACAGGCUGGGCUGGCACUUAUUUUGCAGAGAACUGGAAACAAGGAUUUGCAUGUUGAGAUCAGCCUCAGGUGCGAAGACACAGAAAUACAGAGACAAGCAAAUUGCACCCACAUAGACAUCAGCUGGAGCCCUGGGAGCUGCUGGUGCUUCCUGGGCUGUGCAAUGCUGAGGCAGGAGAAAUGGCCUCAGAUUGGAAUGAGCCCCAGGCCAGGGUGUCAGAGCAUUUACGGGGAGAGUCAGGGCUGCUCUGGCCUGUCCUUCAGGGAAGGGUGCUGCUAAUCAACUUGUUAGUCCUGUCCCUGCUGAAGUUCUGCCUCAGCACCCUGCCACCACCCUGGCCUGGCUCAGGAGGGGAGUGCUGGGCUGAUUCUGUCUGGACUGCAUGGGUUUCUGCUGGGGCCAGAUCCUCCUGGACCUGGAGGAGGUACGGACAGGGCUUGGUCCAAACCUCUCUCCUCCAGGACCUGCCAGGACCCUUCUCAGAGCAGGCAGUCUGGCAUACAGAGUGCUGAUGUGUGCUUUCCUCUGCGACUGCCAAGGGCUUUGCUAUAAUCGCAGCCCUAUACCAUUCCCUACAGAAAUCUGCCUUUGGGAGGUUUGUCUGGGCUGAAGGUCUUCUGCCAGGACCUCCUCUGCAUCUGAGAACUCUUGGGAAUAACUAGAACCUCUGCCCCCACCUGGAGGUGGGAUCUCCUUGCUACCCAACUUCCACCUCCAUGUGCAGGUAGCAGGUCCCUCUCAGCACGAGUGACACCUGGUCUGCCUCCAAACCAUGCUGUGCUCAGCAUACCUGUGCUCCUCUUGGACUCUGUUUCCUCAUUCUUGUGUCCUGCCUGGACACCAGCUGGUGGGACAUCUUUGUCCUGUGAGAAAACCCACCUUGUCCCUGUGAUGGAACAGAGGACAGGCACACGUCCAUGUUGCAAUUUGGGCUACUUUGUGGGUGGCCUGUGUGUGGCAAGCAGGAGACCUGGGUGCACAGGAGCAUGAAUGUGCCAGGAUGCUUUCCCUUUCCUGGCGCUCCCAUUGCCUUUCUGGCUCCACUUUUCCCUUCACCUCUUCAUUUUUGCCUCUUUCACCCAAAGUCCCUGUAAAUCACAGGACCUCCUUGCUGAUGUGCUCCAGGCUGUGGCCACACUGUCCAUCCAUGCCACCAGCAAGAAGGAGCACAAGAGAAGGAAAUCUGUGACUGUGGGGCUUGUCUUCACUCUUCUGUGGCCAAGUAGGGCACCCUACUUAGGACAACAGCCCCCAGCAGCCUGCUGGGAGUGGUGUGCUUUGCUCUGUGUCUCCCUCUGGGGUCCACGUGAUGUAUUUUUGAGUGCUCAACCCUCUCUUUUCUUCCAUUACUUUCUUUUCUCUCCCCUCUUAUAUAUAUAUAUUUGUUGUCUCCUAUCAUCAGUUGCCUGUGCUCCUUUUUCAAGGAAAAAAAAAUUAAAAAGAGCAGUGGUGUUACAAAGCUGCAUGUUGUUUGUAGGAGCUUGUUUCUCCAGGCUCAGAGACAUUGUGGAAGAAAUGACAACCUUCUAAAAAAAAAAUCCAAAAUAAACCAAAAAAACAGAAGGGAAAGAGAAGAAAAGAGGCACAGAGCCUGUUAUUUUGUGCUGCAAACUCUCCAUCAGACAGUAAACACACACUGAGUGGGGAGUCCCAGGACAUAUGACCCAGGAAUGCUGCCCCUGGGACAACCAGUCCCAGUGUCCUAGGGGAGGCAGCGUGCCUGCAGGACACUCCAGGGCACCUCAAAGGCUGAUGAAAAUUUACUGAUAAAUGUGAUCUCUAGGCUGGUGAUAAAUAUUUGUAAGUCUCUGUUAUAUCACUGUUUGAAAUAUACUUUUUUUAAUGUUUUCCUUGGCAGGGUAGGUAUAGUCUUGGGAUUGUACCUUAAAGUUUUAGCAUCUGAAACAAAAGUUCUGGCUAUAGCAUUGUAAAGCCUUUCUUUGUUAUAUGCAGCCUUCACAGAUCAGAGGACAUAAUAAAACAAAUCUGUUGCUAGGUGCUUAUUCUGAGGUCCAAAAUUGCAAAAGUAUUCAGACAUCUGCCUCCCCUGGAAGUCUAUGUAACUUUCAGGAUUUAUAUCUUAGAAAUCACAAAACACCAUCAAGCACUAGUUAGCCCAAAUCUCAGUGAUGCUGGAAUAGGAUGGAUUUCUACCUGAAAAUAAGGCAUGCAAUAGCAUGAUUUAAAAAUGAACUUUGUCCUGUAUUCUCUGCCCCAUAUAAUGACAUUUCUGUACAUAGUUUCUUGGAAGUGUAAAAUUGGGACAGUAAUGUUUAGGAGUAGCUGGUUUCAGAUCAGCUUUCCCAUAAUCAGUAAAAAUAUGUUUCUUGUACCCUUCAAAAAUCACAGAUGCAGGUCUCACUGUUAAAUUGGUGAGGUUUCCACCCAAUGGUGUCAUCAGUGUCUAGAAAUAAUUUGGAGCAACUUCAUGCUCCUUUACCUCUAAUCUGUUCUAUGAAAAUUGAUUGGAAAAAAUACAUUUAGGAGUCAAAUUAAAUCAUGUUUCCCUUUCAAAAAAGCCAACAAACUCUCUUUUCCUUUGCUUAACACUCUUUACUGUGAUGGUUAGUUUUCUUCACGUGCUUAGGUUGAAGCUGUCAACUGCAAAUAUUUGCUAUCAAUUUCUACAGAGCGGGAAUAUCCAGGGUGCUUCUAAACAUAAGCUCUAGUACAUUUGACAGCUCUAGUUUUCUUUCUUGCUGAGACAUUAAUCUGUAAGACUGUGAGAGAAGCACUGGACAUGCAAGCGGGUGAGCAGCACAGGUCUCUUGAAGUUGCAGACCAAGAUUAACAACAUUUCAUAAGGUGCUCAACAAGUGAAAACACAAGCUAAAAUAUACAAACAGAGAGAUGAGCUGUGAUGUAAUCAGAUGUUCAAAGCUAGGGAAUAGGUGAGUUUUUGGAGAAGACAGCCAUUUUGCAUUUCCUUCCUUCCAUAAAAAUCACUAACAUCAUUCAGCCUGUCUACAUAAACAACACAUGCUUCAUUUUGAUCAUCUUCUGGAGAAGGUGUUUUAGAAGUGAGGAGAAUGAGAAGUGGAAUCAUUUUUCAUGUUGUCAGAAGUGAGAUUGACACAUGGGAAGGCUGGAAGCUGGUAAUGAUUGAAGCUUUUUCCAUUUGCUGUUUCCUGCUUGGCCAAAGCUUUCUUGGAUUCCUGCCUAUAAAGUUAAUAUCUGCAAAAGAACUACAUUCACAUACAUAUGUGUGAGAUGUCUCACGCAUAUUUAUGCCAUUUCCCAAGAGACAUACAGCUAAAAUAUCAUGUCUUUGUAUUCUAAAUAAAAGAAGUUUUGGUCAGGUGGUGUUUGUAAUUUCACAGAGUGAAUUCAAUUUCUGAAAUUAUAAUACCAUUUGAUAUCAGCCUUCCUUGCUGUUUCAGCAGAUAAAGCUACCUUGUAUCCAGAAAUAGCUUUUGUGCAUGCCUUUCUGAAUGCUACUCUGUGUUCCCGUUGCCUUCAAGCUUGUUGCUUUGUUUCUAAUUAGUCUUUCCCUAAAUUACAACAAACACAUGACACUAUUGUUCACUUGAUUUCUGGGAAUACAGUCUGAUGAUGGCAGUGCCUACCAGGAGGCCAAAACAUUCUCAGAUGUCUUUGAUAUGGUAAUUGUCUGAUGUGGAGCAAUAUGCAGGAUUUUAACUUCCUAGCAUUUCACAGAUAAACUAUACUGUGAUUUUGUCUGGGAUAGAAAGCAAAAUACCUGCAAUUGAAUUCUUCUGAGAAUAUCAUUCAGGUAUGGUCAAAGCAAGAGCAUCUGGGAAAGAAUAUCGUAAUGUUUCAGUCAGUGGUCCAACGCAAAGCUUAGAGCCUGAGAGUCUGACAAUUUCUGGAGCUGUAAGGGUGUAUUUUGAAAUGGGUUGUGGGGAGGUAUGAAAGCUGCACAAAUGUGAUGGUGUCAUAUCGGAAAUAAUUCAUUUAUAUAGAGUGUCCCCAAAAGCUAGAGACAACACACUUUGAACUUCACAGCAGUGGGUGCCAUGUUUAGGGAUUUGUAUUCAUGUUCAAUAGAAUUUCAAACUGGGACUAGAAAAAGAAAGACCAAUAUAAGAAAGAUGUAUCUGCAGACCAUAAUGCCUCUGAGUUGAAAUCUGCUUAGGCUACUUUGAAUAGAUCCUCAUGGUCUAAAAGCCAUAUGUGUCCCCUAAGUCAUUCCAUUGCAUCUAGUGUUUCUCUUAAAAGUUUAGUGUGAACAUCCAUGAGUCAGGGAUGAUGAUUUAUUUUUUAACUCCAGUUUCGAAAAAAACCACCAACAUUUCAUCUCAUUUCCCAUAUUUGGGAUGAAACCUUAUUCUGAAAUUUGAAAUUGCUAGCAAGAGAGGAAACAAGGUUUUUAAAAUCUGCCUGUAAUCAUGCCAGACUAUUUUUUCUUAUUUAUUUAGUGUCUUUGCAUCUAUAGUCUAGCUAAUGAAAAAAUGAGCUGCAAGGAAAAUUAACCCUAAUAAUAGGAGAAUAAAAAAUGUAAAGAGAUCAACCAGUCAAUCUGCUGGGCUCAGAAAGAAUUCAAAAGUCCCAAAUGCAUUUUGAUCACCUCCCUCCAGCAGCUAGGUAAUCACACCACUCGCAUAGCCAGAGUUUUUGUAAAGUUCAUUUGCUGACAAAAUCACCCCCACUCCCCAAAUACUCAAACAUACAACCAGGUCACAGAAGCUGAACAAAUUAUCACAUAUCAGCUGAACUGUAUUCUAUUUUCAUGUCCAUGCUCUUUACUUAUUCUGAUGAAUACUACCACAUUAGUUUAAAUCCUUUCCUAUGAACUCUGCAGUGCCUAAAUCCCCCAUCAAGCUUGCUCUGACUGCAUGUGACUGCACAGUAUUUGUGCCCUGCUUUAAUCCUUCCUGACAACUUGUAAAGAUAGAUUUUCCAGACAUAAACCUAAUACAUAUUUCUCAGUAUCAUCCAGCACAAGAGGAGCUUGAAAAGCUCUUUUUUUUUUUUUUUUUUUCUGUAGGCUAGUUAGACAUACAGAAUAUAUUUUUGUUUCCCUCCUUUUCUGUUUUCCUUUUGCAAACAGGAGCUUUAUCAUCAUGUGAGGAAUAACCAGCAGACACAUGCAAAAAUAAAAGUUAACAUUUCACCUAGGAGGAAUUCCUCUGAUAUAUUUGAAGACAUGCUAGCUUAAGAAGGGUAGAACUUCAUGUCCAAUGAUACAUUUAUGACAUUACUAUUAAUCAGGCAUAAAGGAUUUGUACUGCAUUGUGACAGAGAGCAAUAAGAAGUGGACAUGAAGGUGAAUUGGUUAUUAAGCAAGUAAAUGACUUCUGUUGCCAGCCUGGCACUGACUGACAGGACUUGAAUGCCUGUAGUGUUGUCAGAUUUCCCAGACUCCUCAGUAGUUUUAUUCAAGGGAUUUUUGUAUCUGGCCAUCAUUGCUAUGCUUGGCCACCAGGCAGAAGACAGAAGAAUAAGUCAAUUGAAUGAUGCAAGGCUCUAGUUUCACUGGGUAGGACCAGUGUUUGGACAACUUAUCUCAUUUGGUGAGCAGGACCUGAGCAGUGUGGCUCAAGUUAAAUGAAAGUAAGGUCAUUAAUCAGUUCUUUAAAGAAACCAGGUGGCACUUGCCAAGGUUAUGUGGUGAAGAAAGUUGUAUACAGAGCAAAUUUAGCCUGUGCUAAUGGUGUCAGUUGGAGAGUAGGUUCAAAGAUGAGAUUGAUCCAAGGGUGAGUAUCCCAUCAUGCCACCAUCUCUUUCCUCUCUCAUAGCCCAGAGUACCUUGGCUGCCUGCAAGGCUGGUGCUCAGCUGUCUUCAUGUAUAUUGAGAACAUGAAGAACAUUUUUUUUUUUUUUUUGAGAGAGAGAAUAAUAACACUGGAAAGGAUGAGUCUGAGCUCCUCAGAAAUGACUGUGAGCUGGUUUUUUUUAUACCAUACUUACAAAAGGUCUUGCUUUUCUUUGCAGAAGAACAAAUAUUCUGUCCUCACAGUCUUUUCCCUUAACACUUUCAUUUUACUGACCUCACAGCUCUGACCGUGCUCUGCUCCUCUUUCUUCUAGCUUUUAUUUGUCCUUUCAGCUUUUUAAAAGUACUCUUGCUACUAACUGUGGGCUUUUCUCUCUCAGAUGGUAUCCCAGACACAUUAAGAUUAUUUUCCUGGAGGUAAUGUUUACAGAUAACCCAAUGAAGGGGGAAUUGGAGGUCUCCCAGAAAAAGUAAAGAUGCAGACUUUCAGGUUUCACAAGUAGUAUUUCACAGGCAGUUGUGCUCGGGAAAUAUGCUGACAGCAACCUUAAGAGAAUGUGUAAAAGAAGGACACUUUCUUCCCAGUUCUAUUGAGCCUUCUGUCCUCCAGCCCCCCAGCCCACUUCUUUGAUAUUUAGAAAAAUCAAAAGGUAAAAAGGUAGAAAGUUCAGGCAGAAUGUGUGAGAUGAUAGUAAUGGAAUUGGAUACACUAGCAUGUAUUAUGGUACAGCUGUUGUCAUCUUGACCAUUCUCUCUCAUCCUGUUAUUUUUGUGAGAAGUUAUUUAAAUAUAUGUGCAUAUACCCCAGAGGAGUACUCUGUGUUUUGCUUUCUAUUUUUUAAGAAUGUCAGGAAGUUACAAUAAAUAUCUCCAUGAAAUUUGCUUAAUAAGAAUUUUCAGAAGCAUUUGUCAUAUUUCUGCUAGCAAAGUCAACUGAAAGACUAAUUUUAGCAAUGUGAAAAGCUGCUUCUAUUGUGACAAAAAUUAUGGCCUAAGGGACAGAGCCACCCCCUCUAGAAAUUAAUACUUACAAAACCACAUUUCUGUCAACAGUCUGAUGGUGAUGCCAUGAGAAGCUACUAAUGGGAAAACAGAGCUGUCAGAAUAAAAAGUGUUCAUCUUCUCUAAACCAAGGAGCCUUUAUUUAUUUUUCCAAGCAAUAGGCACAACUGAACUGUUUCUCUGAAAUCUCUGUCUCCCGUAGAUAAUAUGCUUGGUUUAGCACUAACUCAUACUUCAACCUCUGUCUCAUGUACUUUGUAUUUUUUUUUUCAUCAUGCAGACCACACUCUCCUAGGAAAAACAACUUUUUUUUUUUUUUUUUUUUUUUUUUUUUUGUUGCAUCCACAAUUACAGCCAAGCUUCUUGAUCAGGGUACCAAACAAAACACAACAUGCAAUUUACAUGGGCUAAAAAAA
Anas platyrhynchos (mallard) is the source of this 15200-nucleotide long non-coding RNA. RefSeq lists it as uncharacterized. The record is from RefSeq and is a predicted model, not a curated record. NCBI's taxonomy places the organism in Eukaryota, Metazoa, Chordata, Aves, Anseriformes, Anatidae.